GUGCUCAUUUCGGCAGCACAAACUGAAAUGCUCCAGAGAAGAUUAGCAUGGCCCUUGCGCAAGGAUGACAUGCACAUUUGUGAAGUGUUCCAUAUUUUU
This 99-nucleotide small nuclear RNA is filed under the name Mus caroli (Ryukyu mouse). The record is from RNAcentral. Lineage: Eukaryota; Metazoa; Chordata; Mammalia; Rodentia; Muridae.